This 474-nucleotide ribosomal RNA is filed under the name Campylium stellatum. Its description in RNAcentral is "eukaryotic LSU rRNA". The stretch from base 1 to 125 matches the Rfam family "5.8S ribosomal RNA", at positions 29 to 154 of the family's 154-position model. The record is from RNAcentral. Lineage: Eukaryota; Viridiplantae; Streptophyta; Bryopsida; Hypnales; Amblystegiaceae.
UGCAUCGAUGAAGAACGCAGCGAAAUGCGAUACGUAGUGUGAAUUGCAGAAUUCCGCGAAUCAUCGAGUCUUUGAACGCAAGUUGCGCCCGAGGCUUGUCCGAGGGCAUUUCCGCUAGAGCGUCACCGCGCCCCCCACCAACCCACUCCCGUGUGAAAUCGGGAGUCGGGUCGAGUGAAAGUGGUCGUCCCGGCGUCGGGGUACCCAAACCCUGACCAAGGGUCGGCUGAAAUGGAAGGAAUCGGGCCGCCGUGGUGACACAGUCCGCGAUCGGGUGAUCCGCGCUCCCGACUUCGGGAGCCCGGUAUUUUUCUAAGUGCGUGGCUGCGUCCCCAGUUGGUUCCGGUUACCUCGUGCAGGUCGAGCGCGCCACCCCCUCCCACAUGGGUCGGGGCGGCGCGCGUCACGUUACGCAUCAGACCUCUAAUCGGAAAAGACUACCCGCUGAGUUUAAGCAUAUCAAUAAGCGGAGGA